GGGGGGGGGGGGGGGGGGGGGGGGGACGGGCGGGGCGGGCGGGGGCGCGGGGGGGCGGGCUGUGGGGGGGGCGGGGGGCGGACGGGUGAGGGAUACAGCGGCAUCUGCCCAGUCGUGGGGGAUGACGUAGGGAAACUGACGCUAAUACCGCAUACGACCUUCGGGAGAAAGGGGGGGCUCGCAAGACCUCCCGCGCUUGGAUGAGCCGCUGUCGGAUUAGCUAGUUGGCGGGGUAAUGGACCACCAAGGCGACGGUCCGUAGCUGGUCUGAGAGGAUGAUCAGCCAGACUGGAAAUGAGACAAGGUCCAGACUCCUACGGGAGGCAGCAGGGGAGAAUAUUGGACAAUGGGCGCAAGCCGGAUCCAGCCAUACCGCGUGGGUGAAGAAGGCCUUCGGGUUGUAAAGCCCUUUUGUUGGGAAAGAAAUCUUUCAGGCUAAUACCCUGGGAGGAUGACGGUACCCAAAGAAUAAGCACCGGCUAACUUCGUG
Molecule: ribosomal RNA, 490 nt
Filed under: uncultured bacterium
Lineage: Bacteria
Description: partial 16S ribosomal RNA
Rfam family: Bacterial small subunit ribosomal RNA
Source: RNAcentral